RNAcentral lists this ribosomal RNA (324 nucleotides) under uncultured Rhogostoma. RNAcentral's name for it is "SSU rRNA". It matches the Rfam family "Eukaryotic small subunit ribosomal RNA", at positions 632 to 955 of the family's 1831-position model. Lineage: Eukaryota; Cercozoa; Thecofilosea; Cryomonadida. The record is from RNAcentral.
GAUUUCUGGCGACUUGACUUCAGGCCGGCCACGGUUUCGUGUGUUAGUGCUUGAAUUCUUCGCCAUCCUUCCAAUGGCCAUUCAUCCUUCUUCAUUGAGGUGGUGAGUGGUAUUGGAUCUUUUACUUUGAAAAAAUUAGAGUGUUUCAAGCAGGCUUUAUGCUAUGAAUACAUUAGCAUGGAAUAAUAAUUUAGGACUUCGGUUCUAUUUUGUUGGUUUCUAGGACUGAAGUAAUGAUUGAUAGGGAUAGUUGGGGGUGCUAGUAUUCAGCGGCCAGAGGUGAAAUUCUCGGAUUCGCUGAAGACUAACUUAUGCGAAAGCAUU